UACGGAGGGUGCAAGCGUUAUCCGGAAUCAUUGGGUUUAAAGGGUCCGCAGGCGGAUUUAUAAGUCAGUGGUGAAAGCCCGUUGCUCAACAACGGAACUGCCAUUGAUACUGUAAGUCUUGAAUUCGGUCGAAGUGGGCGGAAUAUGACAUGUAGCGGUGAAAUGCUUAGAUAUGUCAUAGAACACCGAUAGCGAAGGCAGCUCACUAGGCCUGGAUUGACGCUCAGGGACGAAAGCGUGGGGAGCAAACAGG
Molecule: ribosomal RNA, 253 nt
Filed under: uncultured bacterium
Lineage: Bacteria
Also listed under: 1 other name
Description: partial 16S ribosomal RNA
Rfam family: Bacterial small subunit ribosomal RNA
Source: RNAcentral